UACGGAAGGUCCUGGCGUUAUCCGGAUUUAUUGGGUUUAAAGGGAGCGCAGGCCGGCUUUUAAGCGUGACGUGAAAUGUAGCCGCUCAACGGCUGAACUGCGUCGCGAACUGGGAGCCUUGAGUGAGUACGACGUCAGCGGAAUUCGUGGUGUAGCGGUGAAAUGCUUAGAUAUCACGAAGAACUCCGAUUGCGAAGGCAGCUGACGAGACUGUAACUGACGCUAAAGCUCGAAAGUGCGGGUAUCGAAC
RNAcentral lists this ribosomal RNA (250 nucleotides) under uncultured prokaryote. Its description in RNAcentral is "partial 16S ribosomal RNA". It matches the Rfam family "Bacterial small subunit ribosomal RNA", at positions 524 to 773 of the family's 1533-position model. The record is from RNAcentral.